Molecule: ribosomal RNA, 460 nt
Filed under: uncultured bacterium
Lineage: Bacteria
Description: partial 16S ribosomal RNA
Rfam family: Bacterial small subunit ribosomal RNA
Source: RNAcentral
CCUACGGGAGGCAGCAGUGAGGAAUAUUGGUCAAUGGCCGGAAGGCUGAACCAGCCAUGCCGCGUGAAGGGCAGGGGCCUAAGGGCGUUAAACUUCUUUUGUGCGGGAGCAAUAAUGGUCACGUGUGGCCAGACGAGAGUACCGUACGAAUAAGCAUCGGCUAACUCCGUGCCAGCAGCCGCGGUAAUACGGGGGAUGCAAGCGGUAUCCGGAUUUAUUGGGUUUAAAGGGUGAGUAGGCUGGGAGGUAAGGCAGCGGGGAAAUGCCCCCGCUCAACGGGGUGAAGUGCCAUUGAUACUGCCUUGCUGGACUGCGGAUGCCGUGGGAGGAAUGUGUGGUGUAGCGGUGAAAUGCAUAGAUAUCACACAGAACACCGAUUGCGAAGGCAUCUCACGAAUCCGCGAUUGACGCUGAUGCACGAAAGCGUGGGUAUCAAACAGGAUUAGAUACCCGAGUAGUC